Molecule: ribosomal RNA, 244 nt
Filed under: uncultured bacterium
Lineage: Bacteria
Description: partial 16S ribosomal RNA
Rfam family: Bacterial small subunit ribosomal RNA
Source: RNAcentral
GAGUGGCGGACGGGUGCGUAACGCGUAUAGAACCUACCCAGUAGUGGGGGAUAGCCCGGGGAAACUCGGAUUAAUACCGCAUACGCCCUACGGGGGAAAGGCCGGGAUCUUCGGACCGGUCGCUAUUGGAUGAGCCUGCGUUGGAUUAGCUAGUUGGUAGGGUAAAGGCCUACCAAGGCGACGAUCCAUAGCUGGUCUGAGAGGAUGAUCAGCCACACUGGGACUGAGACACGGCCCAGACUCC